This 5322-nucleotide long non-coding RNA is filed under the name Homo sapiens (human). RNAcentral's name for it is "HSALNT0364808". Lineage: Eukaryota; Metazoa; Chordata; Mammalia; Primates; Hominidae. The record is from RNAcentral.
CAAGGAUGCCUGAGGGGAUUUGAGUCCUACAGGCUCAGCACUUAUGAAAAAGGAUAAAGUCCUUCCCAGCCUGGCAGGAGAAGGAAAAGCCUGUGGUGGGGGAAGGGAGUGAAGGCGUGUGCCUCCUCAUGGAACACAGGGUCGGAGUCGGCUAGGAGGGAUAAGAGUACAAUAGAGGGUUGUGUGACACAGACAGGCUGCCAGCCCUCAGCAUGGACCCGGCACAUGGAAUCUGUGAUCUUAAAAGAGUCAAGUGACUACCUUUGGCAACCAAAAGAGACACUGCCUUUUAGAAGGCAUAUCAUCUGAAACUGGCUGAAAGAGCUGUCUUACUUAGGAAGAAAAAUCUCUCCUUUGGAAAGAGCUGGAACUUUUAGUAAAACUGAACAGUGAGGUGGCGGAAGAUAAAUAUGCUGAGGCAUGUUUUCAAGGAGGGGAGAGAGAUUCCUUUUCCUCAGCCGGGCACAGAGCCAACCUGAAGUGUAGCACUGUGGUGACCUGGCGGGAUCUGCUCUCCAGUCACUCCCGAGGGCCCUUCUGGGGACAAGGAGACUUUUCUGUGCGGCCUGUUGAUUUGAGUAGGAUCGAGGCUAUCAAGCUACAGAUGAUCUUACAAAUGGAACCCCAAAUGAGCUCAACUAACAACUACCAAGGACCCCUGGACCAACCCGCUGGCCCUUUCAAUGGCCUAAAGAGUUCCCCUCUGGAGGACACUACAACUGCAGGGUCCUUUCUUUGCCCCUAUCCAGCAGGAAGUAGCUAGAGUGGUCAUCACCCAAUUCCCAACAGCAGUUGGGGUGUCUUGUUAAGUGGGGAGAUUGAGAGGUGAAGCCAGCUGGGCUUCUGGGUUGGGUGGGGACUUGGAGAACUUUUCUGUCUAGCUAGAGGAUUGUAAACACACCAAUCAGUGCUAUGUGUCUAGCUAGAGGUUUGUAAAUGCACCAAUCAGCACUCUGUAAAAACGGACCAAUCAGCACUCUGUAAAAUGGACCAAUCAGUAGGAUGCGGGCAGGGCCAAAUAAGGGAAUAAAAGCUGGCCACCUGAGUCAGCAGUGGCAACCCACUCGGGUCCCCUUCCAUGCUGUGGAAGCUUUGUUCUUUCACUCUUCACAAUAAAUCUUGCUGCUGCUCACUCUUUGGGUCCACACCACCUUUAUGAGCUGCAACACUCACUGCGAAGGUCUUCAGCUUCACUCCUGAAGUCAGCGAGACCACGAACCCAUGGGGAGGAACAAUCGACUUCAGACAUGCCACCUUUAAGAGCUGUAACACUCACUGCGAAGGUCUGUGGCUUCACUCCUGAAGUCAGCAAGACCACGAACCCACUGGAAGGAAGAAAUUUCGGACACAUCUGAACAUCUGAAUGAACAAACUCUGGACACGCCAUCUUUAAGAACUGUAACACUCACUGUGAGGGUUCAUGGGUUCAUUCUUGAAGUCAGCAAGACCAAGAACCCACCAGAAGGAACCAAUUCCGGACACAGACUCACUGCAACCUCCACCUCCUGGAUUCAAGUGAUUCUCCUGCCUCAGCCUCCGGAGUAGCUGUGCCUACAGGCACAAGCCACCACACACGGCUAAUUUUUUGUAUUUUUAGUAGAGAUGGGGUUUCACCAUGUUGCUCAGGCUGGUCUCCAACUCCUGAGCUCAAGUGAUCCACCUGUCUCGGCCUCCCAAAGUGUUGGGAUACAUGUGUGAGCCACUGUGCCCGGCCUCCUCUGGAUUAGUUCUUACAGGAAUAGAUUAGUUCUUGCUCGAGCAAGUUGUUAUAAAAGUGAGGUUGCCUCUAGUGUUUUGCAUCCUCACAUAUGUCUGCUUACCUCUUGACCUCUCUCUGUGUUAUGACCCAGCACAAAAGCCCUUACCAGAAGCCAAGCAGAUGCUGAUGCCACACCCCUUGGACUUCUCAGUCUACAGAGCCAUGAAACGAAUAAACCUCUCUUUAUAAAUUAUCCAGCUUCAGGUAUUCUGUUAUAGCAACACAAAAUGGACGAAGACAACUACCUUAUCAUAAUAAUACUAUGAUAGUCAAAAUAGAUAAUGUCUGUUAAAAUGCUUAAACAGUUUACACACGUUAUUUUUACCUCAUUAGAGUGAUUUAUUAUUCAUUAAUAUGUAGAGCAGCAUUAAGGUAUAACAACAUAAACAUUGAGAUCAUUAAUCAAGGGUCCUGAGAUUCUACUCUUGUUCUCCAUAAAUUAGCUGAGUAAAUAUGGUAAGUCAUUUAACAUUUGGGCUUCAGGUUUCUUAAUCUAUAAAAAUGACAAAGUAUCAUUUAGAACCUUCUAGCUAGGAAAUAUAUCAUUUUGUGAUCUCCUAAAUCUAGUUUUUUUCUCACAUACUGGCUCUAAUUUUUUGAGAUAGGAUCUUGCUCUGUUGCCCAGACUGGAGUGCAGUGGCAUGAACAUGGCUCACUGCAGCCUUAACCUCCUGGGCUCCAGUGAUCCUCCUGCUUCAGCCACUCGAGUAGCUGGGACUACAGGCUCAUGUCACCACACCCAGCUAUUUAAGAACUUUUUUUUGUAGAGGCAGGGUCUCCCUGUGUUGCCCAGCCUGAUCUCAAACUCCUGGGAUGAAGUGAUCCUCCUGCUUGGGACUCUCAAAGUGCUGGGAUUGCAGGUGUGAGCCACCAUACCCAGACUUUAAGUUUUCUCUAUUAAGAGACUGUUGCAUUUUCCCCCUUUGCUCAUGCCUUGCUGAAUGAGUUGAGUGCACAUACAUGAUUAUUACAAAGUACAACAUGCUUAGGAAAAUCUGUGACAAAUAGAGGAAUCUUUUUUCUUUUGAAACUUUCACUUAUUUUGUUUUGUUUAGUUUUGAGUAGGCAAUGCAUUUACAUUGCCCAAAUUUAAAACACUAUCACAAGUCACACAAUGAGGAGUCCAACUUCCUACCUUACCUGUCUACCCUUUUUCCUGCUCCCAUUUUUUCCUAUCUAUCCUUCCAGUGUUUUUCUAUGCCAAGUUCAAAUGAUAUAAAUAUAAAUUUUCUUAUUUUCUCCCUUUUCCUGUUAGACAUUUCACUUUUUUCACUUAAUAGUAUAUUCUGGAAAUUACCAUACAUCAGUACACAGUGAGCCACCUUCUCUCUAGUUUUUUUUCAGCUUCAUAUUAUUCAAUUGUGGGGCAGAACCAUAGUUUAUUGAAUGAAUCUCCUAAAGAAGGACACUUGUUUCUAACAUUUUGCUAUUGCAGAAAAUGCUGCAAAUAAAUAACACUGUGCAGACUUCAUUUUAUAUUAUGUACAGGUGGAUCUGUAGAAUACAUUCCCAGAAGUGGGAACCCUAGGUUAAAGAGUAAAUUAAUUUGCGCAUUAAAAAAAUGUCAUAUUGGCCUUAACAAAAUUGAGACUAUUUUGCACAACUAGCAAUGUAUCAGAGUGCCUGUUUUCCAACAGCCUCACCAACACAAUGUGUUCAAAUGUUGAAUUUUUAAAUAAUCUGAUAGGAAAAAUGACAUGCAGAGUGAUUUUAAUUUGCGUGAAGAAGCUUUUAAAGAAAGAGUUGAGAAGUUGAAAUUUAAGGUGAGUUUUGAUAGAUUCUUCAAAGUGUCCCCCAAAUAGGAAGCUUCACAGUUAAUGUUUAAAACCUCUUGUAAAUAACAAUUGGCAUUGAAAGAAAGCAAAAUAUUACUUUGUAAUCCGAAGUAUAUUGUCAGCCAAGUUCAAGGAAGCUUGGUAAUUGCUCAAUCUUAAAUUACUCAAUCUUAAACCAGAGAGAUGAAGUGGUGCAUUCGUGACCACUGGCCUUGAACUGUUAACUCUCCCAGCGCUGUUAACAGGAGUUUCUUCAUUGUUGGGCUCUUAUCCAUCCUUCAUAUUAGUAAUUCCAAAUUAAUAACUGCAUAUUAAUAAACUCCAAAGGUGACAUUACACAUAUCUGAUGUCUUGAACAAAUAUCCUAGAGCAAAGUGGCAGAAACAAGAUGAGAAACAGAGCUGGAGGAAAUUUUGUUUUAUAUUGAGUCAAUUAAACUCCCUCUCUCCCUGUUUCUCUUUCUUUCUCUCUCUCUCUCUCUCCACAUGCACACACCAGCAGAAGCAUUUCUUUCAGAUUCAAAGAAGUGGAAAUGUGUGCAUUCCAUUCUAUUUUCCUCUCAACUCUAAAGGUAAAUAAAUCAAUUUUAAGGAGUUGAAUGCUAUAUAAAAUAUGUACUAUACCUGCUGUGUUUACUUGUUAUAAAAACUACUAUACCAAAGGCUAUCUAAUAUCAUUUCUUUUGGUGACACCCCAAACCUCAUUUAAUUUAAAUAUACACUGUACUUUAGUUUAUUCAUCAGUAAAAUGGUAAGGAUGCUGAUCCCCACCUUAUAGGGUUUUUGGUGAAGAUUAAAUAAGUCAAAACAGCCAGGUGCAGUGGCUCACGCCUGUAAUGCCAGCACUUUGGGAGGCCAAGGUGGGCGGAUUGCCUGAGGUCAGGAGUUUGAGACCAGCCUGACCAACAUGGAGAAACCCCGUCUCUACUAAAAAUACAAAAUUAGCCGUGCGUGGUGGCACAUGCCUGUAAUCCCAGCUACUUGGGAGGCUGAGGCAGGAAAAUCGCUUGAAGCCGGGAGGUGGCGGUUGUGGUGAGCCGAGAUUGUGCCAUUGCACUCCAGCCUGGGUAACAAGAGUGAAACUUUGUCUCAAAAAAAAAAAAAAAAGAAAAAUUAAGUCAAAACAUGUAAAGCAUCUAGAAGAAUGCAUGGCAUACAGUAAACACUCAACACAUGGUAGCUAUUAUUAUAUUUAUUCUUUUAUUAGUGAAAAUUUUCCUAUGACUGCAGACUCUUUGGAUAUAGUACUUAUGGCAGGCAUCACACACAUUAUUUCUAAUGUGUAUGUUGAGGAAAGUCUUGAAACCUUAAUUAAUGCACAGUUGUCAGAAAAAGCUUGGAAAGUGGAAAAAUGAACGAAUAUACAAUUUUGUAUAUUUGUGUUACAAUUCUGUCCUUAGAAAGGACUCUCUCAUGGUUAGUGUCAAUGCUGAACUUGUUUGAUAUAUAAACCCAAGUACCGGAGGCAAAAUAAUGGUCCCAUAGAUGUCCAUGCCCUAAUCCUUGAAAUUUGUGAAUAUGCUCCUUAACAUGGCUAACAUCCUAAACAUUUCACAGAUGUGAUUCAGGGUAGAGACCUUGAGAUAGGAGAUUAUCUUGGAUUAUCAGCCAGGGCCCAAAUUAAUCACAAGCCUUUAAAAGCAGAGAAGUUUUCUUGCUGAGGUCAGAGAGAUAUGAUGACAGAAGAAGGGUCAGGGAGAUGUGAGGGGAGGACUUGACUAGCUAGUUGGCUUUGAAGAUAGAGGAAGUAAUCCAAGAACACAUAUAGCCUCUUGAAGCCAGAAAAGAC